GCUUUCUUGAACUAACUCUAAAGGGUCUACCAGAUACAUUGACAGAAAGAAAAGGAGUUGCAUAAGGGACUGUUCUUACUUGAACAUGAUUGAUGAAAUGAGAUGAAAAAAGUUGCCUAAAGUUUUGAUCUUUAGUUGAUUGAAGAAGUGUGAGUCCACUGGAAGGAGCAAAAAGAGACAUUUUCCUCAACUAGUUCAAGAAACUUGGAUGCUGGCCAAGAAUUUUGGUGGUCUUAA
This 237-nucleotide unclassified non-coding RNA is filed under the name Hevea brasiliensis (rubber tree). The record is from RNAcentral. Lineage: Eukaryota; Viridiplantae; Streptophyta; Magnoliopsida; Malpighiales; Euphorbiaceae.